UGUGUGUUAGUGGAAGCGUCUGGAAAGGCGCGCGAUACAGGGUGACAGCCCCGUACACAAAAAUGCACAUGCUGUGAGCUCGAUGAGUAGGGCGGGACACGUGGUAUCCUGUCUGAAUAUGGGGGGACCAUCCUCCAAGGCUAAAUACUCCUGACUGACCGAUAGUGAACCAGUACCGUGAGGGAAAGGCGAAAAGAACCCCGGCGAGGGGAGUGAAAAAGAACCUGAAACCGUGUACGUACAAGCAGUGGGAGCCUCUUUAUGGGGUGACUGCGUACCUUUUGUAUAAUGGGUCAGCGACUUAUAUUCUGUAGCAAGGUUAACCGAAUAGGGGAGCCGAAGGGAAACCGAGUCUUAACUGGGCGUUAAGUUGCAGGGUAUAGACCCGAAACCCGGUGAUCUAGCCAUGGGCAGGUUGAAGGUUGGGUAACACUAACUGGAGGACCGAACCGACUAAUGUUGAAAAAUUAGCGGAUGACUUGUGGCUGGGGGUGAAAGGCCAAUCAAACCGGGAGAUAGCUGGUUCUCCCCGAAAGCUAUUUAGGUAGCGCCUCGUGAACUCAUCUCCGGGGGUAGAGCACUGUUUCGGCAAGGGGGUCAUCCCGACUUACCAACCCGAUGCAAACUGCGAAUACCGGAGAAUGUUAUCACGGGAGACACACGGCGGGUGCUAACGUCCGUCGUGAAGAGGGAAACAACCCAGACCGCCAGCUAAGGUCCCAAAGUCAUGGUUAAGUGGGAAACGAUGUGGGAAGGCCCAGACAGCCAGGAUGUUGGCUUAGAAGCAGCCAUCAUUUAAAGAAAGCGUAAUAGCUCACUGGUCGAGUCGGCCUGCGCGGAAGAUGUAACGGGGCUAAACCAUGCACCGAAGCUGCGGCAGCGACGCUUAUGCGUUGUUGGGUAGGGGAGCGUUCUGUAAGCCUGCGAAGGUGUACUGUGAGGUAUGCUGGAGGUAUCAGAAGUGCGAAUGCUGACAUAAGUAACGAUAAAGCGGGUGAAAAGCCCGCUCGCCGGAAGACCAAGGGUUCCUGUCCAACGUUAAUCGGGGCAGGGUGAGUCGACCCCUAAGGCGAGGCCGAAAGGCGUAGUCGAUGGGAAACAGGUUAAUAUUCCUGUACUUGGUGUUACUGCGAAGGGGGGACGGAGAAGGCUAUGUUGGCCGGGC
RNAcentral lists this ribosomal RNA (1165 nucleotides) under Escherichia coli. RNAcentral describes it as "partial 23S ribosomal RNA". It matches the Rfam family "Bacterial large subunit ribosomal RNA", at positions 323 to 1496 of the family's 2925-position model. Lineage: Bacteria; Pseudomonadati; Pseudomonadota; Gammaproteobacteria; Enterobacterales; Enterobacteriaceae. The record is from RNAcentral.